AUUGAACGCUGGCGGCAGGCCUAACACAUGCAAGUCGAGCGGAUGAGAGGAGCUUGCUCCUGGAUUCAGCGGCGGACGGGUGAGUAAUGCCUAGGAAUCUGCCUGGUAGUGGGGGACAACGUUUCGAAAGGAACGCUAAUACCGCAUACGUCCUACGGGAGAAAGCAGGGGACCUUCGGGCCUUGCGCUAUCAGAUGAGCCUAGGUCGGAUUAGCUAGUUGGUGAGGUAAUGGCUCACCAAGGCGACGAUCCGUAACUGGUCUGAGAGGAUGAUCAGUCACACUGGAACUGAGACACGGUCCAGACUCCUACGGGAGGCAGCAGUGGGGAAUAUUGGACAAUGGGCGAAAGCCUGAUCCAGCCAUGCCGCGUGUGUGAAGAAGGUCUUCGGAUUGUAAAGCACUUUAAGUUGGGAGGAAGGGCAGUAAAUUAAUACUUUGCUGUUUUGACGUUACCGACAGAAUAAGCACCGGCUAACUCUGUGCCAGCAGCCGCGGUAAUACAGAGGGUGCAAGCGUUUAUCGGAAUUUCUGGGCGUAAAGCGCGCGUAAGUGGUUCGUUAAGUUGGAUGUGAAAAUCCCUGGGGGUCUACCUGGGAACGGCAUUC
This 607-nucleotide ribosomal RNA is filed under the name Pseudomonas jessenii. Its description in RNAcentral is "bacterial SSU rRNA". It matches the Rfam family "Bacterial small subunit ribosomal RNA", at positions 28 to 628 of the family's 1533-position model. The record is from RNAcentral. Lineage: Bacteria; Pseudomonadati; Pseudomonadota; Gammaproteobacteria; Pseudomonadales; Pseudomonadaceae.